GGCCGGAUAGCUCAGUCAGUUAGAGCAUGGUGCUGAUAACACCAAGGUCACGGGUUCGAUCCUCGUUUGGUCCC
This 74-nucleotide transfer RNA is filed under the name Apaloderma vittatum (bar-tailed trogon). It matches the Rfam family "tRNA". From Rfam's summary of the family: Transfer RNA (tRNA) molecules are approximately 80 nucleotides in length. Their secondary structure includes four short double-helical elements and three loops (D, anti-codon, and T loops). Further hydrogen bonds mediate the characteristic L-shaped molecular structure. tRNAs have two regions of fundamental functional importance: the anti-codon, which is responsible for specific mRNA codon recognition, and the 3' end, to which the tRNAs corresponding amino acid is attached (by aminoacyl-tRNA synthetases). tRNAs cope with the degeneracy of the genetic code in two manners: having more than one tRNA (with a specific anti-codon) for a particular amino acid; and 'wobble' base-pairing, i.e. permitting non-standard base-pairing at the 3rd anti-codon position. The record is from Rfam by way of RNAcentral. Lineage: Eukaryota; Metazoa; Chordata; Aves; Trogoniformes; Trogonidae.